UUUUCAGUCCCUUUUCAAGCACAGUUUUUAUUUUAUAUAAAGCACAUUCAGUGGAGAAAGUGCAGCAGCUUGUGGGAUGUAGAUCUGUGUGAUCUGUGUGACGUGUGUUUAGUGCUGGGUCACUGCCAGAACUUCUGUCUUCUUUUUGGACUCUUUCAUCUACCUGGUGAUUUCUCAGAAUGGCUGAGAUUGGCAGCAGCCCUUGGAGAACUUCCAGGGUUUCCAAUAAUGAACUUUAAAUAUUAAAUUUUGUUUCUAGAGAAUGACAGUGGUGUUUGAAGAGCUUCGUGUGCAAGCAGAGAACGACAGAUUGGAAAUGAGUUUCAAAUAUUUCAGCUCUUACCAUACAGAGAGAUGAAAAAGAUGGUGUSAUAAAAGACAUCAAGGCUCAGCUGCAGGAAUCACAAAAUAAGAUUGCUGACUUACCAGAAGCAAAAUUACGUGAAAAAGAAAUGUUAAAGGAAUCCCAGGUCAGUCAAGAACAUUUGAGGGCACAGCUGGAAGAGGUUAAAAUUUCAUUGCAAAAGGCAGAGGUUACUCAAAAGAGUUUAGAAACUGAUUUCCAGUCUACAGUGAAAACAUUAAUUCAGGUCACUGGAGAAAAGGAAGCACAAGAGGAGCAAUGUAAAAAAAUGAAGGCUUUGCUUGCAGCCCUGAAAGAGGAGUUUGAGACUUCUAUUGCAAAUUUGAAAAGCUUGCUACAAAAAGAGAAAAAUAGGUAAAUUAAAAAGAUUAAAUUCAAAGAGUCAUCUUUCAGGUUGCUGUUUAUGACAAAAUGAAGAGUAAUUGGAAAUGAAGCUGAAAUCUGGAGUUUUUUUGACACAGUGGUCU
Malurus melanocephalus (red-backed fairy wren) is the source of this 831-nucleotide long non-coding RNA. RefSeq lists it as uncharacterized. The transcript has 4 exons. NCBI's taxonomy places the organism in Eukaryota, Metazoa, Chordata, Aves, Passeriformes, Maluridae. The record is from RefSeq and is a predicted model, not a curated record.